UACGUAGGGUGCGAGCGUUAAUCGGAAUUACUGGGCGUAAAGCGUGCGCAGGCGGUUCGUUGUGUCGGCGGUGAAAGCCCCGGGCUUAACCUGGGAAUGGCCGUUGAAACUGGCGAACUGGAGUGUGGCAGAGGGGGGUGGAAUUCCACGUGUAGCAGUGAAAUGCGUAGAUAUGUGGAGGAACACCGAUGGCGAAGGCAGCCCCCUGGGCUAGUACUGACGCUCAUGCACAAAAGCGUGGGGAGCAAACAGG
This 253-nucleotide ribosomal RNA is filed under the name uncultured bacterium. RNAcentral describes it as "partial 16S ribosomal RNA". It matches the Rfam family "Bacterial small subunit ribosomal RNA", at positions 524 to 776 of the family's 1533-position model. The record is from RNAcentral.